Molecule: unclassified non-coding RNA, 211 nt
Filed under: uncultured fungus
Lineage: Eukaryota; Fungi
Description: sequence contains ITS1
Source: RNAcentral
GUAUUAAUUUUUUCAGCUUGCAAAACAAGCUUAUGAUUUAACAUUCUGAAACUUUUGGGUUUAUUUAAAAAGACAUAGACCAAACAAAAGUCGGCCUACAAAGAGUGCACAUGGUGUAAAAUUUGGAACAAGGUGUGCACAUAUCUAUUACGAUCAGCUACAACCUCUUCAAAAUUCAAUAAUGAUCCUUCCGCAGGUUCACCUACGGAAA